UGAUGUUGAUAAUGAUGAAGAAGAUGAUGAUGAUGAUGAUGGUGGGGCUACUGAUGAUGAUUUUGAUGAGGAAGGUGAGGAUGAUGACGAGGAUGAUGAUGAUGAUGGUGGGGCUACUGAUGAUGAUUUUGAUGAGGAAGAUGAGGAUGAUGACGAGGAUGAUGAAGAGGAGGAGGAGGAAGAUGAGGAUGAUGAUGAGGAUGAUGAUGAUGAUGAUGAUGAUGACGACGACGAUGAUGAUGAUGAUGGGAAUAUACCAUACAG
This 264-nucleotide long non-coding RNA is filed under the name Octopus vulgaris (common octopus). The record is from RNAcentral. Lineage: Eukaryota; Metazoa; Mollusca; Cephalopoda; Octopoda; Octopodidae.